RNAcentral lists this transfer RNA (86 nucleotides) under Pelomicrobium methylotrophicum. Its description in RNAcentral is "Hydrogenophilales bacterium SM250 tRNA-Tyr". It matches the Rfam family "tRNA". From Rfam's summary of the family: Transfer RNA (tRNA) molecules are approximately 80 nucleotides in length. Lineage: Bacteria; Pseudomonadati; Pseudomonadota; Hydrogenophilia. The record is from RNAcentral.
GGAGGGGUUCCCGAGCGGUCAAAGGGGGCAGACUGUAAAUCUGUUGGCUUAAGCCUUCGUAGGUUCGAAUCCUACCCCCUCCACCA